UGGGGAUUAUUGCACAAUGGGGGAAACCCUGAUGCAGCGACGCCGCGUGAACGAAGAAGGUAUUCGUAUCGUAAAGUUCUGUCCUAUGGGAAGAUAAUGACAGUACCAUAGAAGAAAGCUCCGGCUAAAUACGUGCCAGCAGCCGCGGUAAUACGUAUGGAGCGAGCGUUGUCCGGAAUUAUUGGGCGUAAAGGGUACGCAGGCGGUUUAAUAAGUCGAAUGUUAAAGAUCGGGGCUCAACCCCGCAAAGCAUUGGAAACUGAUAAACUUGAGUAGUGGAGAGGAAAGUGGAAUUCCUAGUGUAGUGGUGAAAUACGUAGAUAUUAGGAGGAAUACCAGUAGCGAAGGCGACUUUCUGGACACAAACUGACGCUGAGGUACGAAAGCGUGGGGAGCAAACAGG
Molecule: ribosomal RNA, 403 nt
Filed under: bacterium
Lineage: Bacteria
Description: partial 16S ribosomal RNA
Rfam family: Bacterial small subunit ribosomal RNA
Source: RNAcentral